Molecule: unclassified non-coding RNA, 161 nt
Filed under: fungal sp.
Lineage: Eukaryota; Fungi
Description: partial internal transcribed spacer region
Rfam family: Eukaryotic small subunit ribosomal RNA (bases 1-46)
Source: RNAcentral
AAGUCGUAACAAGGUUUCCGUAGGUGAACCUGCGGAAGGAUCAUUAACACGUAUCCAAACGUUAAAACCCCCCCCUGAUGAACUGAUCGGUUCAUCGAGCUCAAUGUAAUACAUUGGGUAAGAAAACCGAACAACUGUUAACAAUGGAUAUCUUGGUUCUC